This 143-nucleotide ribosomal RNA is filed under the name uncultured bacterium. Its description in RNAcentral is "partial 16S ribosomal RNA". The record is from RNAcentral.
UGAUCAGCAUGCCGCGUGAGUGAGAAGCCUUUUGGUUGUAAAGCACUUUUAGCGAGGAGGAAGCUACUCUAGUUAAUACCUGGGGAUAGUGGACGUUACAAUAAAACCGGCUCCGGCAAAGUCUGUGACCCGGCCGCGGUUUC